RNAcentral lists this long non-coding RNA (555 nucleotides) under Monodelphis domestica (gray short-tailed opossum). Its description in RNAcentral is "lncRNA (ENSMODG00000051337.1)". Lineage: Eukaryota; Metazoa; Chordata; Mammalia; Didelphimorphia; Didelphidae. The record is from RNAcentral.
CUCAAGCCCAAGCUCAAGGCAGUCUGCAGUGUACCUAGCUGGUCCAAGCCCAAGGGGAGGCCCAGAGCCCCCUGACCAAACCUGCAGUGAGGACCCAAACCCUAGUCCAUGGGAGUCUGCAGUGUGCCUGACCAGUGUAAGCCCAGAGUAGGCCUGUAACCCUUGCCUAGAGCCCAAGUUCCUUUGACGCAUCCUUGCAUGGCAAAAGCUCAAUGAACUUUGAGAUUUGGGUUGUCCUACCUGGGGUGCUUUCCAGUUUAUCAACAUCUUCCUAAAAUGUGGUUCUCAGAAUUGAUUGCAGUGCUUCAGCAGUAGUCUGAGGAGGUACUAAGGGAAACAGAGCCAAGAGACUUGCUUAGGGAUUCUACUCUCAAGGCAUUCUACUGGGCAGUCAAUGGCUAUAUCCACAGAGGAAAUUGGGAAAACCUCUCUGAACCAAUGCAGAGUCAAGUGGGCCAACUAAGAGAAUAACUGCUUUAAAGAAAAUAACAACAUAGAACAAAGUAAAGAACAAUUUAUACAAUGAAAACAAUGUUAUAAACAACUUGAAAGUCU